UAACGCGUGAGGAACCUGCCUCAAAGAGGGGGACAACAGUUGGAAACGACUGCUAAUACCGCAUAAGCCCACGGCUCGGCAUCGAGCAGAGGGAAAAGGAGCAAUCCGCUUUGAGAUGGCCUCGCGUCCGAUUAGCUGGUUGGUGAGGUAAUGGCCCACCAAGGCGACGAUCGGUAGCUGGACUGAGAGGUUGAACGGCCACAUUGGGACUGAGACACGGCCCAG
This 225-nucleotide ribosomal RNA is filed under the name uncultured bacterium. RNAcentral's name for it is "partial 16S ribosomal RNA". It matches the Rfam family "Bacterial small subunit ribosomal RNA", at positions 111 to 334 of the family's 1533-position model. The record is from RNAcentral.